This 465-nucleotide ribosomal RNA is filed under the name uncultured bacterium. RNAcentral describes it as "partial 16S ribosomal RNA". It matches the Rfam family "Bacterial small subunit ribosomal RNA", at positions 338 to 795 of the family's 1533-position model. The record is from RNAcentral.
CCUACGGGUGGCAGCAGUGGGGAAUAUUGCGCAAUGGGCGAAAGCCUGACGCAGCGACGCCGCGUGAGGGAUGAAGGUCUUCGGAUCGUAAACCUCUGUCAGCAGGGAAGAACGGUCACUGUGCUAAUCAGCAGUGAAUUGACUGUACCUGCAAAGGAAGCACCGGCUAACGACGUGCCAGCAGCCGCGGUAAUACGGAGGGUGCGAGCGUUAAUCGGAAUUACUGGGCGUAAAGCGAGCGUAGGCGGAAAGUCAAGUCAAGGGUGAAAGCCCCGGGCUCAACGUGGGAACUGCCUUUGAAACUGGCAAACGAGAGGGUGGGAGAGGAUAGUGGAAUUCCAGGUGUAGGAGUGAAAUCCGUAGAUAUCUGGAGGAACAUCAGUGGCGAAGGCGACUAACUGGAACAUAACUGACGCUGAGGAGCGAAAGCGUGGGUAGCAAACAGGAUUAGAUACCCCAGUAGUC